This 384-nucleotide ribosomal RNA is filed under the name uncultured soil bacterium. RNAcentral's name for it is "bacterial SSU rRNA". It matches the Rfam family "Bacterial small subunit ribosomal RNA", at positions 26 to 413 of the family's 1533-position model. The record is from RNAcentral.
AGGACGAACGCUGGCGGCGUGCUUAACACAUGCAAGUCAAGGGGGAGUCGCAAGACUCAACCGGCGAACGGGUGCGUAACACGUGAGCGACCUACCUAAUUGUGGGGGAUAGCCGGCCCAACGGCCGGGUAAUACCGCAUACGAUCGGAGAGGGGCAUCCCUUUCUGAGGAAAGCCUUCGGGCGCAAUUUGAGGGGCUCGCGGCCUAUCAGCUAGUUGGCGGGGUAACGCCCACCAAGGCGACGACGGGUAGCUGGUCUGGGAGGAUGGCCAGCCACAUUCGGGACUGGAGAUACGGCCCAGACUCCGUACGGGAGGCAGCAGGUGGGAAUAGUUGCGCAAUGGCCGAAAGGCUGACGCGAGCGACGCCGCGUGCGGAUCGACG